GACGUAGGGCGCGAGCGUUGUCCGGAUUUAUUGGGCGUAAAGAGCUCGUAGGCGGCUCGUUGCGUCGGCUGUGAAAACCUGCAGCUUAACUGUGGGCGUGCGGUCGAUACGGGCAUCACUGGAGUUCGGCAGGGGAGACUGGAAUUCCUGGUGUAGCGGUGAAAUGCGCAGAUAUCAGGAGGAACACCGGUGGCGAAGGCGGGUCUCUGGGCCGAUACUGACGCUGAGGAGCGAAAGCGUGGGGAGCAAACAGG
Molecule: ribosomal RNA, 254 nt
Filed under: uncultured bacterium
Lineage: Bacteria
Description: partial 16S ribosomal RNA
Rfam family: Bacterial small subunit ribosomal RNA
Source: RNAcentral